Molecule: ribosomal RNA, 853 nt
Filed under: Ellipsomyxa mugilis
Lineage: Eukaryota; Metazoa; Cnidaria; Myxozoa; Bivalvulida; Ceratomyxidae
Description: SSU rRNA
Rfam family: Eukaryotic small subunit ribosomal RNA
Source: RNAcentral
UCCAGACAUUGGGAGGUAGUGACGAGAAAUACCAAAGUGUGCCUUUUGGUUCACUAUUGGAAUGAACGUAACAUAGUACCUUCGAUGAGUACCUACUGGAGGGCAAGUCUGGUGCCAGCAGCCGCGGUAAUUCCAGCUCCAGUAGUGUAUAUCAAAAUUGUUGCGGUUAAAACGCUCGUAGUUGGAUUACAAAAGUUGGGCGUUGAUCAAGCACUAGUUUGGUUGGCGUCGGGCUUUUUUAUCGCAAGAAUCACUCGUGCAUUUAACCGUGUGCGGGUGACCACUUGCGGAGCGUGCCUUGAAUAAAGCACAGUGCUCAAAGCAAGCGUAACGCUCGAAUGUUUAAGCAUGGAACGAAUAACUAUCUGACACAUGGUUCAGUUGUUGGUUAUCUGAGCCGGGUCCUGAUUAAAAGGGACAUUUGAGGGCGUUAGUACUUGGCGGCGAGAGGUGAAAUUCUUAGACCCGUCAAAGACUCACUAAUGCGAAAGCAUUCGCCAAGAAUGUUUUCAUUGAUCAAGAACGAAAGUUAGAGGUUCGAAGACGAUCAGAUACCGUCCUAGUUCUAUACAGUAAACUAUGCCACCACGGGAUCAGUCCGGGGAACUGCAUCCAGGUUGGUCCCUCAAGGAAACUCCAAGUUUUCGGGUUCCGGGGGGAGUACGGUCGCAAGUCUGAAACUUAAAGGAAUUGACGGAAGGGCACCACCAGGAGUGGAGCCUGCGGCUUAAUUUGACUCAACACGGGGCAACUCACCAGGUCCAGACAUUGAAAGGAUCGACAGACUGAUAGAUCUUUCGAGAUCCAAUGAUUGGUGGUGCAUGGCCCGUUCUUAGUUGGUGGAGCGAUCUGU